GGAGAGAUAGCUCAGUGGUUAAGAGCACUGGUGCUGUUCCAGAGGACCUGGGUUCAAUUCCCAGCACCC
Molecule: non-coding RNA, 69 nt
Organism: Mus musculus (house mouse)
Lineage: Eukaryota; Metazoa; Chordata; Mammalia; Rodentia; Muridae
Source: Rfam